UGUGCCUCUCUAGUGCCUCAUCAGAGCAGUCUGGGAGAACCCGUUUACUCCCCACCCCUGCUUGCAGACAGUACCAAGUGCAUCCUGUCUCACCCCAGCUGUUUUCCCUUUCACACCCACUGCCAGCUGUAGUGAGUUUUCCCACUUUCCUGCCUCACACUCCCUUGCUAGCAAAACAUGACCUCCUCCCUCGUUGUUAGGAAGGGAACUUGGUUUCCCACAUCUCCAGAGUCCUUGCUUCUGGGCCACAGCAGAAGGAAGGCAUCCCUCUCAUCUGAGGCCACCUCUGUCUCUCUCUUCUCAUCCAUUCCUCUGACACUCUUACUGGAUCUUUGCUCCAUUACCAUUUCUCCUUUCCUCUUAUUCCCUCCCUUCCCCAGACUACUCUUCCUCAGCAACACCCAGUCUGCCCUUGUACUAAAAAGAAAGGGGCUUGGCUGCCUGACUGCCCCCACUGAACACUGUCCAAAGGGGGCCCAGUUAUCCUUGCUAUCUACACUCCCUCCCAUAUUUCAAUUCUUCACCAUCAGCUUCCCAACCUACCCUUAAGAAGAAGCUGAAUAUGACAAUUUAUUUUCAGCCUUCAUCUUGCUAGUACAAUGAACACCCUCUAACUAGACUAAGCAAUUAAUAUUUUGCCUUAUUUAAUUUUUUGUCCCUCUCCCCCAAACAUGAAUUGCAUUUCAUCCAGAAGUAUUUCAGUGUAUACAUCCUAAUUAGCCUCUAAAAUAGUCCCUAAUCAAAAUUCCCCAAUUGUCUCAGAAAUGUCUUAUCUUUUCUAAAAAAAAAAACAAAAAAAACAAAACAAAACACAGGGUCCAAUCAAGGUUCAUUCAUUACUUUUUGAUUAUAACUUUGUCUCUUUUAGUCUAGAACAGCUCCCUUAUUUUUUUUUUCCAUGAUAUUUUUGAGAGUCCCAGCCAUCUGUCUUAUAGAAUGUCCUUUAUUCUGGGUUUGUCUGAAUGUUUGCUUAAGCCAAUUUAUGUACUCAUUCUUGGCUCAUCUUCCUCUGUGCCAGUGACUCCAGACUACCUCCAGCCUUGAGUGUUCUUCCCAGUUCUGUCCUUCAUGUCCAACCCCCUGCUGCAUGUCUCCACCUCUACUUGUAUAUCCUGCCACUGCUGAUGGAAAGGGCAAAUCUAUUCAGUUCCACAUUCCCACCCCUUACCUAAUAACUAACAUUUACUGGGCUCUUAAAAUGUACAGGUACAUACUGCCCACUACAUGCAUUACCUCACUUUAUUCUCAUAGCAGCUCCCUGAGGAGGGAUUAAUACUACGCCCAUUUACAGCUAAGGAAACUGAGAUACAGAGCUGUUAAGCGGCUUCUACAAGAUCAAAGCUGGUAAGUAGUAGCACUGAGAUCCAAAUCCAGUUCCUACAUCCAGAUGUGCUGUUCCUAGAUGCUGUAUUGUCUUCCUUGCAAGUCACUGAGCUGACACCAAGUUUCCUCCCUCUCAUUCCAGGUAAUGCUAUCAGUGACGUUAACACUAACAUUCCCCAUGUACCAGAGCUGUGCCAAAUGCUUUACUAGAAUAACUGCCUACCAUGCAGCAACCCCAUGACAUAAUUAAUCCUAUGCCUAUUUCACAGAGGAAGAGACAGGCUCAGGGAGCUGUAAUGUUGAGACAGACUGGGAUUUGAAGUCAGGUCGCUGAGUCCUAGGUCCCUGAUCUACUGGGUCUAUUUCUACAAAGUGUCACACCUAUCUUCCUUCUGAUGCCACCUGCCAAGCUCAAGCCUCAUUCAUUCCUCUGGGGUUCAUCUUCCCAUCCUUGUCUUUCCCAACUGUCCCCUUCCUAACACUCAACUUGACCAACGGAACUGUUCUAAGCCAACAUUGAUUAUAUCACCAUUCCUGCUCAAAGGCCCCCCCAAAUCAUCCAUUAUCAAUAAGCUUCGACUUUGUAGCCGGACAUUCAAGUGCCCCCACCCUGAUACCAGUCUUAUCUGUCCCUUCCCUUACCUAUACUAUAUGCUCCAGCCCAACCGGACUCCUUAUUCUUCCUCACAUGCCCUUGUCUUGGCACAUCUAUGCCUGUUUGCCUUCCCUCCACUUAAAAUGCCCCUUCAAUCUCUGAAUAUGAAGAAUUCCACCCAUUUUCAAAGACGAAGCUCCAAUUUGAUUACCUGCAUGAAGUUUUCCUUGAUUACUCCUAAUAGAUGAUUCUUUACUCCUCUGGACUCCUCAGCAUUUUAUAAUCUCAUAACACUUAAAACAGGCCAUCAUCUGGCAUAUGACUCUAUGGGUUCUUGUCUUCCCUCUCCUGCCAGACCCUGAGCCCUUGGGUUAUCCUUCUAUUCCCAUAGUGCUUUUCAUGUAAUAGCUGCUCAAUAAAUAUCUGAGGCAUUGAAUUCAAUUUGUUGAGUUUUACAAGUUAGUCUUCCCAGUUAUUAAGACAAUUAUUCAUUUAUCUUUAAUUCUGAGUAGAAUUCACAGCAGAAAAAAAAUAGCCUAGAAAGAAACAGCAGUAAUAAUUUUUAAGCUGUUUAGUCAAUAAAGGUUUAGUAAAUGUCCAUUAUUGCACUGUUUGAUUGGAAUCCAAAUUAGUAUGUCAUUACUAGUAUGUCAUUAUCAGGAAUGUUUUUCUUAAAAUGUUUUUCAUUACACAAGUAACACAAAUGCAAUGCCCCAACCUAGGAAGAAAUCAGAACAACAUCCUCCAAAGUCCUGUCACCUUAGUAAAACUGCUAUAAACAUUUUAAUGUAUUCUUUUGUCUUUCACAAUCUUUACAUUAUCCUAACAAUAGUAUGCUAUUUUUAUUAAGUACUGAAAUAUAACGGCUUCAUGUGGAUGUAUAACUUCAGCUAUUAGAGGAAUUUGAACUUUUUAGAAGAAAGAAACCUAUAAAUGUUACUCUUCUAUUUCACCAGCUGUUAGAACCACUAAUAUCGGCAAAGAUUGACUUUCAGAAUCUCUAAGUGCUCCCUCAAGAAAGAAGACGAAUGGGAGCACCAACAGCCUCUGUUUCGGGGACAGGGGGCAUAGUUACCCUAAUAACUUAGUGCUGGCUGUGGGAGUUAAGCAAAGAGAUUUGACUUUCUGUUUUCUAUACUUCUGCAUUGUACUUUUUUAUACCAAGCAUGAAUUACUUUUAUAAUCAAAAGUGAAAUUAUUUAUAUUUCUCAAAUGAGAAUUCCUGACCAUCAGCAUUCCACUUUCUUAGGUAAAAUAAACAAAACCCAACACAAGGACUGAUGUAACCCCCACUUUUAGAAAAGCCUAGAGAGAAAUGCAGCCCUUGUCCAGCCUAACACUAUCAUUUGACAGGAGAGAAAAAUGAGCCCCAGAGUGGCUUGCUCACUACCAGGAGUUAGUGGCUAUGGUGGUUCACCUGACUCCAACCUCAACAGAUAUUGUGCCUCUUUGGCCUUAAAGACUUCUGCUGGCACAUCUGUCAAAGCCCAAGGGCUGUCAGGACCAAUAAGUCAAGCUGGACUCCAGAGAACAUAGAGAUGGGUUAUGGGGACUGCACUGGUCUCUCUGUCUGCGACACAGUUGGCUCACAGAGUUAUUGCUGAUGCAUGACAGUCGAGGUGGGUUAUGGCGACUGCACUGGUCUCUCUGCCUGCGACAGUCGGCUCACAGAGAGCUGUCAUUGCUGAUGGGUGACAGUGACACACCUCACCUCGAUCAGCAGGGCUUCCCUGACUUCUGUCACUGGGCUUGCUAAUAGUGCCACCCAGGCAGCACACAGUGACAAGGUGGAUGGCUGGACUGGGGAGGCAGAAUGCUCUGAACCUAACUCCUGAACUCCUGCCAUGAUGUAAAGUGAUCAGUCACCUCUUUAAGUUAAAAUUUUGCAGAGAGGAGGGGGAAGCAAAGCAGGGUCCUGACAACCGAAGUUAAAACAGCUAGAACCCUUAUUAUGCACCUAAGCUGUCAUCCCUGGAGCUGGAGAGGGAAGAGCUGGUUUGGGCUGACUUUCAAUUUUAAAUAGCUGUCCAUGUCUUAAACAUCUUAGAAGGGAUUCAUAAAAACUGGGCUUUUGUUUUGCUGCCACUCAACAGGGAAUUCUAUUUCUAAAGGUUUGAACUUCUUACCUUUCCACAACCUAAAUCUGCUUGUCUGCAAAACGGAUGAGGUGAUCGUUAAGGUCCUCUUUGGCUCCAACAUCGUUAGGAUUACAUGAAAUACAGUUUAACAUCCACUGACCUUAGAGUCAAUGAGUUGCUUGGUUUAACUGGAUUUUCUUGUUCACUGAAAAUUUAGAAGUAAAUGUUCAAAGUGACAGUCUCAAAAAUAACAGGAGUGUGUUAAACUUCUUCCAUAGUACUGAGGUACUGACUCCAUCAUUCACUCCCUAGAACUGACGAUGCGUGCAGCAGUAGUGAAUAUGCUCUCUUGUACCCCCCCUUUUGUCCUCAUGACACCCUGCAGGCAGAGCAAGUAUAACUGUCCAUAUUUUACAAAUGAGGCCACACACUUCAACAAGGUGAAGUGACCUGCUGAAAGACAACAGCACAUUGGAGGCUGGAGGUCAAUCCAUGGAUCCUGGUCAUACCUGGGCCAAAGAGUUGCACUUCCUCCCAGCCUUCCCUCGUGGCCCACCUCUUCACCACUGCUAUCCUGGCUGGAGUGCCUACUGACACUUGGGUUGACGUUGGCUGCUUUCCAUCCACAAGCUCUGGUACUGGGGGUAAGCCAGACCUUCAAGAAGUGAGGCUGGCCAUUCUAUUAGUUUGCUAUUGCAGAUGUAAAAAAUUACCACAAACCUAGUGGCUAAAAACAACACAAGUGUAUUAUCUUACAGUUCUUCAGGUCAGAAUUCUGAAACUAGACUCAAUGUCAGCAGAGCUAUGUUCCUUUCCAGAGGCUCUAGGAGAUGUUUUUUGGCCUUUUUCGGCUUCUAGAGGCUGCCCACAUUCCUUGGCUUGUAGCCCCUUCCUAUCCUCAAGGUCAGCAAGGGCCAUUCUUUCUCACAUUGCAUCACUCUGCUACCCUCCUCCACAUUACAUGGACUCUUCUCCUUAUUUUAUGGUCAGCUGGUUAGCAACCUAAUUCUAUCUGCAACUUUAAUUCUUCCCUGCCAGGUAACAUAUUGAUACUUUCCAAGGAUGAGGACAUAGACAUUUGCUGGGGGGCAAGGGUGGGGGAUCUAUUAUCUGCCUACCACACAGCAUUAUCCUGCCUUGCUUAGGUUUGCAGGUAUGUGACAAAGGCAAAGUGCUUGAUGGGGAGCCACUAUUCCCCAGAAAUCAAUACUUUGAUGGGGGUCCUAAUCCUCCCCUCCUUGUAAAUCUGCCUAGUGCAGGGAGUGCUCAUAGACUUUUCUGAGACAGAUACCUGCAAGGUGGGUGUGAAGGAUGCCUCUGGGGGGAAAUCAGAGGCCUCCAUAGUGUCAAGAACUAAAUAUUUAAGUAUCUGUGCACUAACUAGGAUCUGGUUGACAAGGAAGGUCAGGUGCUGAUGUGUGAGUUGUCAAGCCUUUGGAGUCAGAUAUGAAUUAAAAUUUAAGCUUCCCCCAAAAAAGAGAGUACCCAAAUAUUAUGAUUAAUAAACAUGUUGAAAUACAAUUAAAAAAUCCAAGCUUCCAACCAUGUAUGUUACAUGUCACCUUGGCAACCCCCCUUAACCUCUCUGAAACCCAGUUUCCUCAUCAGUAAAAUGGGGAUAAUACAGACCUUACAGGGUUGUCACAAUGAUUAAGAUAUUAUUUGGGUAAAUCUGACAAAUAGUUGAAAUGCAGGAACAAUGACUUCUUUUUCUCUUACUUAGCUGAAUGGGAGCUCAAAAUCAGUCCAAAGGAUCUCAGAAAGAGCAAGUUCCCUGGGAUGAUUCCUGAGAGCAGCUGCUCACAAGCCACAAAGAACUUCGGCUUCUGCAAGAACUUUGAAAUGAACAGAAACUGUUUUGGAUUAAUACUCUGGACUAUCAAGGCUUUCAUGUGACUACUUGGCCUUUAUACUCUACAAAUACCAUCUAAAAGUAAAGUAGGCUCCGCACCGAAUGUGGGGCUUGAACUCACAACCCCAAGACCAAGAGUUCUAUGCGCUACCAACUGAGCCCAACCAGGAGCCCCAAUCCAGAUUUCUGAACACAGUAUUAUAGCUACAGGUAUGUGGUUC
Molecule: long non-coding RNA, 6069 nt
Organism: Ailuropoda melanoleuca (giant panda)
Lineage: Eukaryota; Metazoa; Chordata; Mammalia; Carnivora; Ursidae
Exons: 3
Source: RefSeq, a predicted model, not a curated record